RNAcentral lists this Y RNA (96 nucleotides) under Prolemur simus (greater bamboo lemur). RNAcentral's name for it is "Y RNA (ENSPSMG00000019447.1)". It matches the Rfam family "Y RNA". From Rfam's summary of the family: Y RNAs are components of the Ro ribonucleoprotein particle (Ro RNP), in association with Ro60 and La proteins. The Y RNAs and Ro60 and La proteins are well conserved, but the function of the Ro RNP is not known. The record is from Rfam by way of RNAcentral. Lineage: Eukaryota; Metazoa; Chordata; Mammalia; Primates; Lemuridae.
GGCUGGUCCGAUGGUAGUGGGUUAUCAGAACUUAUUAACACUAGUGUCAGUAAAGUUGGUAUUCAACCCCCCACUGCUAAAUUUGACUGGCUUUAA